AUCGCUUCUCGGCCUUUUGGCUAAGAUCAAGUGUAGAAUCUUUUUAUUCUGCCAUCCUAU
This 60-nucleotide small nuclear RNA is filed under the name Fukomys damarensis (Damara mole-rat). Its description in RNAcentral is "U2 spliceosomal RNA". It matches the Rfam family "U2 spliceosomal RNA", at positions 1 to 92 of the family's 192-position model. From Rfam's summary of the family: U2 is a small nuclear RNA (snRNA) component of the spliceosome (involved in pre-mRNA splicing). Lineage: Eukaryota; Metazoa; Chordata; Mammalia; Rodentia; Bathyergidae. The record is from Rfam by way of RNAcentral.